GAGACAGGCAGCACCUCUCUUGUCUCACCAGAACCUUGUGUCCAAGGAGGUCCUUCAGGAGACCUGGGAUGAGUGGUGCUUCCCCAAAACAGACUCAUGGACAUUAAACAUCAUCAGAAUGGCACAAGAGGGCAAAGAAGAAAACAGCCUCAUACCACAGUGCAGAGGCUCCUGACCUGGGGGCUGCCAGUCUCCUGUAGCCGGUUCCUGUGGCGCCAGCCGGGCGAGUUUCCUGUCACUGCUCUCCUGCUGGGGGCAGGCGCUGGGGGGCUCCUGGCCAUAGGUCUCUUUCAGCUCCUGGUGAACCCCAUGAACAUCUACGAAGAACAGAAGAUGAUGUUCUUGUACAGCUUGGUGGGUUAGUGCUGGGCAAAAGCCAGGAACACUCAAGCGGCCUGUGGAACACAGCGCCGUCCUGCAUGCCCAGGAAGGAGUCGGGACUUGUUUCUUCUGUACCCAUACAUCCCCUGUGGCUUCCGCCUCCUCCUGGGCUUUACGGGGAGGUCCAGAGGGAAGAGGCUGCCAAUUUAAGAAGGAAGACACCGUCCUUGCCCUGAGGGAGUCUCUCCAUUCCGAGGGACUCCCCAUCACCCACAUGAUAUAGUCCAACCCCAUAACCCUUCAUAACUCUCAUCUCUCCUGACCUGUCUGACCUCGUUUUCUGAUCCUCCUAAGAAAUUAAAUUCAUUCAUUCAUUCAUUCACUCAGCACUUACUGAGAAUCUGCUGAGGAUUUAGCAGUAAACAAGGAUGACAAGCAUCCAGCCGUUUUGCUUUGGUUUUGUUUGUAUGUUUUUGUUUUUGUUUUGAGACGGAGUCUCGCUCUGUCGCCCAGGCUGGAGUGCAGUGGCUCAAUCUCAGCU
This 862-nucleotide small RNA is filed under the name Pan troglodytes (chimpanzee). RNAcentral's name for it is "retained intron". Lineage: Eukaryota; Metazoa; Chordata; Mammalia; Primates; Hominidae. The record is from RNAcentral.